This 282-nucleotide unclassified non-coding RNA is filed under the name uncultured fungus. RNAcentral describes it as "partial contains 5.8S ribosomal RNA, internal transcribed spacer 2, and large subunit ribosomal RNA". The record is from RNAcentral. Lineage: Eukaryota; Fungi.
AACGCAAGUUGCGCCCCAAGCCUUCUGGCCGAGGGCACGUCUGCCUGGGUGUCACAAAUCGUCGUCCCCCCAUCCUCUCGAGGAUAUGGGACGGAAGCUGAUCUCCCGUGUGUUACCGCACGAGGUUGGCCAAAAUCCGAGCUAAGGACGCCAGGAGCGUCUUGACAUGUGGUGGUGAAUUCAAUUCUCGUCAUAUAGUUAGACGUUCCGGUCCAAAAUCUCUUGAUGACCCAACGUCCUCUACGCGACCCCAGGUCAGGCGGGAUCACCCGCUGAGUUUAA